This 374-nucleotide long non-coding RNA is filed under the name Lotus japonicus. RNAcentral's name for it is "long non-coding RNA (LJAP_LNC001079)". The record is from RNAcentral. Lineage: Eukaryota; Viridiplantae; Streptophyta; Magnoliopsida; Fabales; Fabaceae.
UUUCAUGCAGGCUCCUCAGCCGUUUCAUCAACUUCAAAUGUUGACACCACAGCAUCAGCAACAACUUAUGCUUGCUCAACAAAAUUUGGCAUCACCAUCUGCCAGUGAUGAAAGCAGAAGACUAAGAAUGCUAUUGAAUAAUAGGGGUAUUGGCCUAAACAAGGAUGGUCUUUUCCCAACGUUUUCCUCCACUUAAAAGGUUGCCACUGAAGCAUCAGCAACAACUUAUGCUUGCUCAACAAAAUUUGGCAUCACCAUCUGCCAGUGAUGAAAGCAGAAGACUAAGAAUGCUAUUGAAUAAUAGGGGUAUUGGCCUAAACAAGGAUGGUCUUUCUAAUCCUGUUGGUGAUGUGUCGUCGAAUGUUGGAUCACCU